This 497-nucleotide ribosomal RNA is filed under the name uncultured bacterium. Its description in RNAcentral is "partial 16S ribosomal RNA". It matches the Rfam family "Bacterial small subunit ribosomal RNA", at positions 28 to 507 of the family's 1533-position model. The record is from RNAcentral.
GAUGAACGCUGGCGGCGUGCCUAAUACAUGCAAGUCGAGCGAACGGACGAGAAGCUUGCUUCUCUGAUGUUAGCGGCGGACGGGUGAGUAACACGCGGAUAACCUACCUAUAAGACUGGGAUAACUUCGGGAAACCGGAGCUAAUACCGGAUAAUAUUUUGAACCGCAUGGUUCAAAAGUGAAAGACGGUCUUGCUGUCACUUAUAGAUGGAUCCGCGCUGCAUUAGCUAGUUGGUAAGGUAACGGCUUACCAAGGCAACGAUGCAUAGCCGACCUGAGAGGGUGAUCGGCCACACUGGAACUGAGACACGGUCCAGACUCCUACGGGAGGCAGCAGUAGGGAAUCUUCCGCAAUGGGCGAAAGCCUGACGGAGCAACGCCGCGUGAGUGAUGAAGGUCUUCGGAUCGUAAAACUCUGUUAUUAGGGAAGAACAUAUGUGUAAGUAACUGUGCGCAUCUUGACGGUACCUAAUCAGAAAGCCACGGCUAACUACGUG